Molecule: ribosomal RNA, 253 nt
Filed under: uncultured bacterium
Lineage: Bacteria
Description: partial 16S ribosomal RNA
Rfam family: Bacterial small subunit ribosomal RNA
Source: RNAcentral
UACGAAGGGGGCUAGCGUUGCUCGGAAUCACUGGGCGUAAAGGGUGCGUAGGCGGGUCUUUAAGUCAGGGGGGAAAUCCUGGAGCUCAACUCCAGAACUGCCUUUGAUACUGAGGAUCUUGAGUUCGGGAGAGGUGAGUGGAACUGCGAGUGUAGAGGUGAAAUUCGUAGAUAUUCGGAAGAACACCAGUGGCGAAGGCGACUUACUGGACACAUAUUGACGCUGAGGUGCGAAAGCGUGGGGAGCAAACAGG